RNAcentral lists this unclassified non-coding RNA (211 nucleotides) under uncultured Hanseniaspora. Its description in RNAcentral is "sequence contains ITS2". Lineage: Eukaryota; Fungi; Ascomycota; Saccharomycetes; Saccharomycodales; Saccharomycodaceae. The record is from RNAcentral.
CCUUCUCAAAAGAUAAUUUUUUAUUUUUUGGUUGUGGGCGAUACUCAGGGUUAGCUUGAAAUUGGAGACUGUUUCAGUCUUUUUUAAUUCAACACUUAGCUUCUUUGGAGACGCUGUUCUCGCUGUGAUGUAUUUAUGGAUUUAUUCGUUUUACUUUACAAGGGAAAUGGUAAUGUACCUUAGGCAAAGGGUUGCUUUUAAUAUUCAUCAA